Molecule: ribosomal RNA, 968 nt
Filed under: uncultured bacterium
Lineage: Bacteria
Description: bacterial SSU rRNA
Rfam family: Bacterial small subunit ribosomal RNA
Source: RNAcentral
CAUGCAAGUCGAACGAUGAAAGCAGGAGCUUGCUUUUGCUGGAUUAGUGGCGAACGGGUGAGUAACACGUGAGUAACCUGCCCUUGACUCUGGGAUAAGCGUUGGAAACGACGUCUAAUACCGGAUACGAGCUAGGACCGCAUGGUCACUAGUUGGAAAGAAUUUCGGUCAAGGAUGGACUCGCGGCCUAUCAGCUAGUUGGUGAGGUAACGGCCCACCAAGGCGACGACGGGUAGCCGGCCUGAGAGGGUGACCGGCCACACUGGGACUGAGACACGGCCCAGACUCCUACGGGAGGCAGCAGUGGGGAAUAUUGCACAAUGGGCGCAAGCCUGAUGCAGCAACGCCGCGUGAGGGACGACGGCCUUCGGGUUGUAAACCUCUUUUAGCAGGGAAGAAGCGAAAGUGACGGUACCUGCAGAAAAAGCACCGGCUAACUACGUGCCAGCAGCCGCGGUAAUACGUAGGGUGCAAGCGUUGUCCGGAAUUAUUGGGCGUAAAGAGCUCGUAGGCGGUUUGUCGCGUCUGCUGUGAAAAUCCGAGGCUCAACCUCGGACCUGCAGUGGGUACGGGCAAACUAGAGUGCGGUAGGGGAGAUUGGAAUUCCUGGUGUAGCGGUGGAAUGCGCAGAUAUCAGGAGGAACACCAAUGGCGAAGGCAGAUCUCUGGGCCGUAACUGACGCUGAGGAGCGAAAGCGUGGGGAGCGAACAGGAUUAGAUACCCUGGUAGUCCACGCCGUAAACGGUGGGAACUAGAUGUGGGGUCCGUUCCACGGAUUCCGUGUCGCAGCUAACGCAUUAAGUUCCCCACUGGGAGUACGGCCGCAGCUAAACUCAAGAUGACGGGGCCGCACAGCGCCGAGCAUGCGAUAUCGAUGCACGCGAGAUCCUACAAGGCUGACAUAUAGAGAAGUUAGAAUACUUCCCGCAGGUCUCUAUCAGUGUGCAUGCUGUCGUCAGCUCUUUCA